UACGUAGGGGGCAAGCGUUGUCCGGAUUUAUUGGGCGUAAAGAGCAGUGUAGGCGGCCAGGUAGGUCUGCUGUGGAAAACUCGAGGCUCAACCUCGAGACGUCGGUUGAAACCGUCUGGCUAGAGUCCGGAAGAGGAGAGUGGGAAUUCCCGGGUGAUAGCGGUGAAAGUGACGCAGAUAUCGGGAAGAACACCCGUGGCGAAGGCGGCUACUCUGGGACCGGUACUGACGCUGAGACGCGGAAAAGCGUGGGGAGCGAACGAGG
RNAcentral lists this ribosomal RNA (265 nucleotides) under uncultured bacterium. Its description in RNAcentral is "partial 16S ribosomal RNA". It matches the Rfam family "Bacterial small subunit ribosomal RNA", at positions 524 to 777 of the family's 1533-position model. The record is from RNAcentral.